RNAcentral lists this ribosomal RNA (253 nucleotides) under uncultured bacterium. RNAcentral's name for it is "partial 16S ribosomal RNA". It matches the Rfam family "Bacterial small subunit ribosomal RNA", at positions 524 to 776 of the family's 1533-position model. The record is from RNAcentral.
UACAGAGGCCUCGAGCGUUAGGCGGAAUCACUGGGCUUAAAGCGUGUGUAGGCGGACUUCUAAGUACCUUGUGAAAUCCCACGGCUCAACCGUGGAACUGCUUGGUAUACUGGCGAUCUUGAGCCACUUAGGGGUUACCGGAACAAACGGUGGAGCGGUGAAAUGCGUAGAUAUCGUUUGGAACGCCAAUGGUGAAAACAGGUAACUGGGAGUGCGCUGACGCUGAGACACGAAAGCCAGGGGAGCGAACGGG